CAUGCACGCCAACUGUCAUUGGCUUGUUUAGUUAACACUCGAAGGUGAUUGGGCUCUCGGGCGAGAUCCCAAUUCGUAACGUCGAACGUGACUGACUGAAAGGGAAUUAGAGUUGUUAUGUCCAGCAUAUGAAAUACUAGGUUACUGCCUGAGAAGGUACAGAGUUAGUACAAAACCAGACUUAGUCCAAACCACAAUCUUUUUAGCAAUUAGCUAAAUGGCCAUUGCAAGUAAUGCUAUGGAAACCUGACGUCACACUGCAAUGCAUUGUGGGAUUUUAGGAUACGGGGACAUUGAUGAAAAAUAGAUUUUCUAUUAAUGAGAAUACACCUAUUAUUCCACAAUGAACAAUUAUGGGGAAAUUUGUGUUUGUAUAACAAUUUCCAAUAUAAUACUUAAACUGAAACCAACAUCCUGACCAUCAAGAGCCAAAAUGUAUAAAAUUCUAGAAAAAAAAUAGCGAGUGAGAAAAUCACUUUUUGUGGUGAACUAAACUAAUUUCAUCCCAGAGGACAAAAUGAUUGGUCUGAACAAGAACAAAACAAAAAACAACAACACUGAAACCACAAGAUGUGAUUGACAUGUUUCAUUGAAUUAAGUCUGAUUAUUGAACAGGUCGAGUUCUUGGGGAAGAAGCUGAUAACCCAAAUAAUGGUAAGAUAUUGUAUUACUGUGCACUGAAUCUCUGUGUGUAUGAGUACAAAUCAUUUUAACAUCUUUGUCUUCAGUAGCUGAAGAAAUUGCUUAUCAGCAGAGAGAUUUACCAGAUGGUAAGUUACUGUAAAACAAUGUGCAUUUUCAUUGUCCAUUACAUGUAAUCAUAAUUAACAAAAAAUGAUUAUUGUUCAAACAGGUCAGGACGAACGUGGUCCACUUAUUGAUGGUCGAGUUCUUGGGGAAGAAGCUGAUAACCCAAACAAUGGUCAGGAAGAAUGUGAUCCACAGCAGGAUAUGUUUCAUUCCGAACCAGAUCAACUGAAGAAAAUAACAGUGAAGCAAGGAGAAACAGUCACUCUAAAGACUGGUGUUACUGACAUGCAGAGAGAUGAUCUGCUACGGUGGAAGUACGCUGAUUCCAGAGUAUCUGAAUCCACAACCUUAUUUAGUGUCAUCGCCGUAUGCAAUAAAAGGACCGCUAGGAUCGCAGUAAAGGAAGGUCCUGGAGGGAAAUUCAAAGACAGACUACAGCUGGACCAUCAGACUGGAAAUCUCACGAUCAAGAACAUGAGAGUCAAAGACACUGGGCAUUUUAAACUAGAGAUCAAGAACAACAAACAUCAGCUGACAAAAACCAUCAAAGUCAAUGUCUGUGCUUCCACAAAAAAGCAAGGGGACGAUCCAAAUGAGACAAAUUUGUCCUUGAUACCAGAAGAGGACCCCAGCAACACUAGUACAUAUACUGUGGAGCCGAUGGACACGGCCGAUGCAUCUUUUACUCCAUGCAUCUUUUAUGUUGGCCGUUUGACGCCUCUUUUAUAUUUUGGAAUAUUAUUUCAUAUUUUGGGAUAUUGUAAAACACAAGCUUUAAAGAUCCUAUGAGAAAUGUUAAAACUAACAGCUGCUAAAUGUAUGGUUAUGUGACCCUCUCCAAAGGAUUCCUUUAACACAGUUUGUGUGUUUGACGUUUUUAUGUAAAUAUGAUUUUAGAAAAUAUUAGAAUAUUUUUGUUUUGUACUAUUAUAUUAUUGUGAAUCCUUUUGGUGAUACAAGACUCCACCUUAAAUAUUACUCCAAUAGGUUAUUAAGGAACCAAGCACAAAUAAUUGAUCAAUCCCAUAGUAGUAUGUAUUGGAAAACACAGCUAAUGAUACAUUUUCAAUCAAAAUUGUUAGAAGCAAAGCUACUAUUACUUGGUUACACUCUAAUACAUUAUCAAUGCUACUCAGGUACCCUUAUAGUAUGGUGCUAAAGAAUUACACAAUACAGUAAAACUACACUCUAAAAAAUGCUGGGUUGUUUCAACCCAAUGUUGGGUUAAAAAGUUAAUUUAAAAAUGUAACCAAAAUUUAACCCAACAGUUGGGUUAGUCCAUAUUUGACCCAACAUUGGGUUGAAACAACCCAGCAUUUUUUAGAGUGUAUAACUAUGCUAAUCUCUGGACCAAAAUGGCAGUGCCAAAACAUUUAUGAGGCUCAUAUUGUACAGAAACUGUACCGGUUUAUUUGCAUCGUAUAAAAUGAAUUGGGAGUGACACUGUCAUUAAUGUUGAUGUUAACUUGUAAUGUGAGCAUGUUGUGACAUACUGAGGUUUUAAUAUUCAGUCUAAUGUUUAUUUACAUACUGUGAUAUUUGAGAUGUUCUUUGUAAACUCACUGUGAAAACACUCAGUAUUAUGAAUGCAAUAUAUUUUAGCGACUAAUAAAACGUAUGAAAACCUCGCAAUGAGUUAUUU
Molecule: long non-coding RNA, 2392 nt
Organism: Sinocyclocheilus anshuiensis
Lineage: Eukaryota; Metazoa; Chordata; Actinopteri; Cypriniformes; Cyprinidae
Source: Ensembl